CUUGCCUGAUUAGUGGCUCGUCUGAGCAAACAAAGAAAAGACAAAAUAGUCAAAACUUUCAACAACGGAUCUCUUGGUUCUGGCAUCGAUGAAGAACGCAGCAAAACGCGAUAAGUAAUGUGAAUUGCAGAAUUUAGUGAAUCAUCAAAU
Molecule: ribosomal RNA, 150 nt
Filed under: Ophiostoma sp. RJ-0771
Lineage: Eukaryota; Fungi; Ascomycota; Sordariomycetes; Ophiostomatales; Ophiostomataceae
Description: 5.8S ribosomal RNA
Rfam family: 5.8S ribosomal RNA (bases 54-150)
About the family: 5.8S ribosomal RNA (5.8S rRNA) is a component of the large subunit of the eukaryotic ribosome. It is transcribed by RNA polymerase I as part of the 45S precursor that also contains 18S and 28S rRNA.
Source: RNAcentral